This 253-nucleotide ribosomal RNA is filed under the name uncultured bacterium. RNAcentral's name for it is "partial 16S ribosomal RNA". It matches the Rfam family "Bacterial small subunit ribosomal RNA", at positions 524 to 776 of the family's 1533-position model. The record is from RNAcentral.
GACAGAGGGUGCAAGCGUUGUUCGGAAUCACUGGGCAUAAAGCGCACGUAGGCGGUCCACUAAGUCAGGUGUGAAAGCCCCCGGCUCAACCGGGGAAUUGCACUUGAUACUGGUGGGCUCGAGGAUGAGAUGGGUAGGCGGAACUCCAGGUGGAGCGGUGAAAUGCGUAGAUAUCUGGAGGAACACCGGUGGCGAAAGCGGCCUACUGGACCAUCACUGACGCUGAGGUGCGAAAGCUAGGGUAGCAAACGGG